UGGGGAAUAUUGCACAAUGGAGGAAACUCUGAUGCAGCAACGCCGCGUGGAGGAUGACACAUUUCGGUGCGUAAACUCCUUUUAUAUGAGAAGAUAAUGACGGUAUCAUAUGAAUAAGCACCGGCUAACUCCGUGCCAGCAGCCGCGGUAAUACGGGGGGUGCAAGCGUUACUCGGAAUCACUGGGCGUAAAGAGCAUGUAGGCGGGUGAAUAAGUUGGAAGUGAAAUCCUAUAGCUUAACUAUAGAACUGCUUCCAAAACUGUUCACCUAGAGUAUGGGAGAGGUAGAUGGAAUUUCUGGUGUAGGGGUAAAAUCCGUAGAGAUCAGAAGGAAUACCGAUUGCGAAGGCGAUCUACUGGAACAUUACUGACGCUCAGAUGCGAAAGCGUGGGGAGCAAA
This 400-nucleotide ribosomal RNA is filed under the name uncultured bacterium. RNAcentral describes it as "bacterial SSU rRNA". It matches the Rfam family "Bacterial small subunit ribosomal RNA", at positions 355 to 772 of the family's 1533-position model. The record is from RNAcentral.